UACGGAGGGUGCAAGCGUUAUCCGGAUUCACUGGGUUUAAAGGGUGCGUAGGAGGGCAGGGAAGUCAGUGGUGAAAUCUCCGGGCUUAACUCGGAAACUGCCGUUGAUACUCUCUGUCUUGAAUCCCGUGGAGGUGAGCGGAAUAUGUCAUGUAGCGGUGAAAUGCUUAGAUAUGACAUAGAACACCGAUUGCGAAGGCAGCUCGCUACACGAAGAUUGACUCUGAGGCACGAAAGCGUGGGGAUCAAACAGG
RNAcentral lists this ribosomal RNA (253 nucleotides) under Flavisolibacter galbus. RNAcentral describes it as "partial 16S ribosomal RNA". It matches the Rfam family "Bacterial small subunit ribosomal RNA", at positions 524 to 776 of the family's 1533-position model. RNAcentral also lists the same sequence under 1 other name. The record is from RNAcentral. Lineage: Bacteria; Pseudomonadati; Bacteroidota; Chitinophagia; Chitinophagales; Chitinophagaceae.